Cebus imitator (Panamanian white-faced capuchin) is the source of this 683-nucleotide RNA transcript. It is a transcript of the gene named selenoprotein K-like, with no coding region annotated. The record is from RefSeq and is a predicted model, not a curated record. The transcript has 2 exons. NCBI's taxonomy places the organism in Eukaryota, Metazoa, Chordata, Mammalia, Primates, Cebidae.
AUGCAUGUUAGUCGCUCUGAAGCGGGGAAGUGGGACAAGACAGUUUACAUCUCGAACGGACAAGUGUUGGACAGCCAGAAUCAGUCUCCAUGGAGAUUAUCUUUGAUAACAGAUUUCUUCUGGGGAAUAGCUGAGUUUGUGGUUUUAUUUUUCAAAACCCUGCUUCAGCAAGAUGUGAAAAAAAAGAAGCAGCUAUGGAAACUCAUCUAAUUCCAGAUAUCAUGAUGGAAGAGGGCCACCAGGAAACCCUCCCCGAAGAAUGGGUAGAAUCAAUCAUCUGCGUGGCCCCAGUCCUCCUCCAAUGGCUGGUGGAUGAGGAAGGUAAAUGUCUGCUCUAAGAAGCAGACAACUGGACAUGUGCAUUCAUAGCAGAAGGAAACCAUCAAGAAGUGGAAGGCUGAUCAUGCUGAGCAGUAGAUGAAUGUGUAUGUCUACACAAGGACUGUUCUGUGUCCUCACAGAUGAAUGAGGUCAUGCCAGGAAUUCCCUCUGCAGGGAACUGGCCUGACUGACGUGCAGUUCCAUAAAUGUACAUGUUUGUCUCAUUACCUUUUUGUAUAGUUUAUUAAAGUAUUAAUAUAGUUUUAAUAAGUAAAUUUUUAGGUUGCACAAUGGACUCCUCAUCUUUAUAUUAAAUUCAUGAAAAAAACUGAAGAAAAUAAAGCCUGUAUAUUUAAAAAAAA